Girardinichthys multiradiatus is the source of this 1506-nucleotide long non-coding RNA. RefSeq lists it as uncharacterized. The transcript is spliced from 2 exons. NCBI's taxonomy places the organism in Eukaryota, Metazoa, Chordata, Actinopteri, Cyprinodontiformes, Goodeidae. The record is from RefSeq and is a predicted model, not a curated record.
GGUGGGGUGGAGGAGGGAUGAGCUCAGCUGACAAGCGAAGAUGAACACAGUAGAAGCUCCUUUAAAAGCAAGGCGUCGGAAGGUGAUUGGAUGGAGAAUCAGACGGACAGGAUGCUGAUUGGACGGCCGGGAGACGCACCGAAAAGUCACUGGAAGGUGGAGGUGGUGAAGGUUUCAGAGGAAAGUCCAGCCAUUGCUCUAUGGAAUGACACAGACAAGCUCAUUCAAGUGGAUUCCAAGGUAAUCCCAUGCCAGAAGGAAUAUAUAGUCCGUCCAACAUGUUCUGGGUAACUCCUGGGUCUCCUCCUUGUUGGACUUGCCCAGAAAACCUCCAGAGAGAGGCACCCAGGAUCCUGAUCAGAUGUUUGAACCACCAACAGUGAAUUGUGUUGAAGUGGAGAAGCAGUAGUAGCUCUACUUCAAGCAUCCAUCUUACAUCACUCCAAACAAGAAACCAAGAUACUUGGACCCCUUUCUCGGAGGCAGAGCCUAACGCUCGACCCCCAGAAAGAAAGCCCACCUUUUUAUUGUUGAGAUUCAUAGUUUUAGACUUAGAGGAGCAGACUUCUAUGCCCGCCACCUUAGAGUUUGCUGUGAAUCGCUCCAUUGCAAACUGAGAACAAUGGUUGAAAACAGUUUAAUAAAACUGAUCACAGCAUAUAACUCUUAAGUUAAAAAACAUUGAUGGUUGGGUGGCUUUAAAGGAAAGCACUCAUUGUGUGUCUAUCCUCUGUUCAAAGUUGAGAAUAAAGUCAAAGUGUUCAGCUAAAUGUUGCCAUUGGUGCAUGAGGGUUUUCAGUAUCAAAGCUUGAAGGAUCUAAAAGAACUUUGCUUUGGCUCCUGGUAGCGUUCACCAUGGCAAAUUGAUCUCAGAGGAGAGGUCAGAAAAAAGUGUUUCAAAGGUCUUGAUGAAGGGAGACAACAUUUUUGUCAUUCCUCUCCCAUAUAAGGAAGACUGUGUCACUCUCCUGCAGUCAGGCCUAGGGGAGAGCUGACCAGUGAGCACCUGGUGGUCAAGCCUUGGCUCCCUGGGCUCAGCCAGAUUUAGCCCAAAAUGGCAGCAGGAGAGCACCUUCAAGUCAAACUUGGCUUCAGUGUGAGGCAAUGCACCGAUUGGCAAGAGAGGGCACAAGGGCCAGGCUUGCAUCAUAAACAGGCUUUUGUUGGUGGGAGCUUGAGUACUAUCUUAAGUAAUGCUGCUGCCAUUGGUUUUUGAAGUGACCCUAGCCAAAGGGUGUUACCACACACAAACCAGAUAAAGAAAACUGUCAGGUUAUGAGCAGAAGAAAAUUCAAUAUCUGUUUUUCAUUUGGAACAUUUUUGUCUCAGGGACUACACAGACAUGAAAGCUGAAUUAUAAUCCCACAGAGAAAUCCCAUCUCUUUCUUUCUUCAGUAUUUUUUCUUCUAUUCACACAUACCUCCAAGUUGAACACUUAAAAACCAUUAUGCUGUGAAGUCCACAAGAUGUUUGUGUUUCCAUAGAAAAAUAAACUGUUCCAGCAUA